UUAACCUCAGAUCAGGCAAGAUUACCCGCUGAAUUUAAGCAUAUUACUAAGCGGAGGAAAAGAAACUAACUAGGAUUCCCCCAGUAAUGGCGAAUGAAGAGGGAACAGCUCAACUUGAAAAUCUCCGUUGUGUUGCAACGGCGAAUUGUAGUUUCGAGAAGUAMUUUCCCGGCGCAUCGAGUUUGCUUAAGUUG
RNAcentral lists this ribosomal RNA (194 nucleotides) under Thrombophyton coronatum. RNAcentral describes it as "partial 28S ribosomal RNA". It matches the Rfam family "Eukaryotic large subunit ribosomal RNA", at positions 1 to 188 of the family's 3401-position model. The record is from RNAcentral. Lineage: Eukaryota; Metazoa; Cnidaria; Anthozoa; Malacalcyonacea; Alcyoniidae.